Molecule: long non-coding RNA, 1241 nt
Filed under: Gallus gallus (chicken)
Lineage: Eukaryota; Metazoa; Chordata; Aves; Galliformes; Phasianidae
Description: lncRNA (ENSGALG00010025106.1)
Source: RNAcentral
GUAAAUCAUUGAGGUGGGAUGAUGGGGGGCGUUGUUCUGCUUUUCCUGAUUAGCUGAAAAUUUAAAAGUUAAACAUAAAGGGAAACAACUCUUUGCUUUGUAUUCUUCUGUUGGGACGCAAAACCACUGAUAUUGUUGUGGAUGCUAUGGAUCAUUUUAUUUAUUUUUUUACUCCAAAUGAAUUGUUGUGGUAUUCUCUUAAUUCAUUUUAAAUGGAGGUACGUUUGUAAGUGGAGCUGUUUGGAAGGUCUCCAUCUCUAAGCAGAAAUCACUUCUCAGCUGAGAAUGGUUCACUGGAACAGGUUGCCCAAGGAGGUUGUGGAUGCCCCAUCCCUGGAGGCAUUCAAGGCCAGGCUGGAUGUGGCUCUGGGCAGCCUGGGCUGGUGGUUGGCAACCCUGCACAUAGCAGGGGGUUGGAACUGGAUGAGCACUGUGUUCCUUUUCAACCCAGGCCAUUCUGUGAUUCUGUAUUUGGCACAAAAGUUUUCAGUUCGGGUGGUGUGGAGCAGAGUGGCUCCUGUCACAGCCUGAGAAGGUUAUCGGAAGGUGCAGUUGUAAUAUAAUAUGUGGUAAAUAUUUUUCAUCCAUUAGUGGCUGAUAAAAGCAGUGCAUCACCACUGCGUGGCAUCGGGGGGAUGGAGGGCAGGAGCCGGGUCGUUAACUUAAGAGGUAUGGAGCCAUCAGUCAUCUUCCUGCUCUGGGAGGCAGAGCGUGCAGUGACAUCACAGCGUGUACGUGUGUGUGUGUAUUAAUGCUAACCAGAUCAACAGAAGCAGCAAAUCUCUUUGGAUUUUCUGUUUGCUUCCAUAUUUCCUCCUUCUCUGUUUUCUUUUCCGGUUUUGUUUCUGAUUUCCUUUCUCUCUUCUGAAGGUUUUCACUGAAUUUUUUCCUUAUCCCCCUCCUUCCCCCCCAGACCAGCACAAAGUGUGAGGAUUGUCAUGGGCUGCACCACAGUCUGUGCUCUCCUUGCCUUCCCUCAAGUGCUCUGACCUGGCUGCUGAUUCUGGAAAGGAAACUGCAUGAGACCUCAUUCUACACUGACCCUAAUAAAAUAGAUUACUAAUAUAAAUCGUAAACUAUUUACUGCAGUGCUAAGUACAGACUGAUAUAAUUCUGUGCAGUCAUUGUGUGCUUUUCCUACGAAAAGCAGGAUUCAACCUUUUUAUGUGUAAAGCGAUACUGAGCCAUAACUACCUUAUAAUAUUGCUGCAUUAUUCUAUAGUUACAGUCCUAAACACCAC